AGUCAGCGCCUCGUCACAGGUGCGUUCUGCAACAGCAGCGCGAUAAUCGGGAAGACGGUGCGACUUAGGUCAAUGCCGUCACUGCCCCCGCAACGGUAAUCGGGUCAACCGGCAUCACAAGCCACUAUUAAAUUUAAUGGGAAGGCGAUGCUGUCAGAUAUCCCCGAAAGUCCGGAGACCGGCCUGUUACGUCCUUCAUGU
Molecule: non-coding RNA, 201 nt
Filed under: Methylophaga frappieri
Lineage: Bacteria; Pseudomonadati; Pseudomonadota; Gammaproteobacteria; Thiotrichales; Piscirickettsiaceae
Source: RNAcentral